Molecule: ribosomal RNA, 253 nt
Filed under: uncultured bacterium
Lineage: Bacteria
Description: partial 16S ribosomal RNA
Rfam family: Bacterial small subunit ribosomal RNA
Source: RNAcentral
UACGUAGGCAGCGAGCGUUGUUCGGAGUUACUGGGCGUAAAGGGUGUGUAGGCGGUUCUUUAAGUUUGGUGUGAAAUCUCCCGGCUCAACCGGGAGGGUGCGCCGAAUACUGCGGGGCUAGAGUGCGGAAGGGGCAACUGGAAUUCUUGGUGUAGCGGUGAAAUGCGUAGAUAUCAAGAGGAACACCUGCGGCGAAGGCGGGUUGCUGGGCCGACACUGACGCUGAGGCGCGAAAGCUAGGGGAGCGAACGGG